This 253-nucleotide ribosomal RNA is filed under the name uncultured bacterium. RNAcentral describes it as "partial 16S ribosomal RNA". It matches the Rfam family "Bacterial small subunit ribosomal RNA", at positions 524 to 776 of the family's 1533-position model. The record is from RNAcentral.
UACGGAGGAUGCAAGCGUUAUCCGGAUUUAUUGGGUUUAAAGGGUGCGUAGGCGGAUCAAUAAGUCAGUGGUGAAAACCUUCAGCUUAACUGGAGACUUGCCAUUGAUACUGUUAGUCUUGAGUAUGGUUAAGGUAGGCGGAAUGUGUAAUGUAGCGGUGAAAUGCUUAGAUAUUACACAGAACACCAAUUGCGAAGGCAGCUUACUGAGCCAUAACUGACGCUGAUGCACGAAAGCGUGGGGAGCGAACAGG